GAUGAAGAACGCAGCGAAAUGCGAUACGUAAUGUGAAUUGCAGAAUUCAGUGAAUCAUCGAAUCUUUGAACGCAUAUUGCGCUCUCUGGUAUUCCGGAGAGCAUGCUUGUUUGAGUAUCAGUAAACACCUCAACUUCCAUAUCUUUUUUGAAAUGGGAGUUGGACUUGAGUGAUCCCAACGCUUUUCCUCACCGAAAAGUGGCGGGUUACUUGAAAUGCAGGUGCAGCUGGACUUUUCUCUGAGCUAUAAGCAUAUCUAUUUAGUCUGCCUAAAAAACAGAUUAUUACCUUUGCUGCAGCUAACAUAAACGAGAUUAGUUCUUGUGCUGACUGAUGCAGGAUUCACAAAGACGGCUUCGGCCGACUUUGUAAACUCGAUCUCAAAUCAAGUAAGACUACCCGCUGAACUUAAGCAUAUCAAUAAGCGGAGGA
This 432-nucleotide unclassified non-coding RNA is filed under the name soil metagenome. RNAcentral describes it as "partial contains 5.8S ribosomal RNA, internal transcribed spacer 2, and large subunit ribosomal RNA". The stretch from base 1 to 120 matches the Rfam family "5.8S ribosomal RNA", at positions 35 to 154 of the family's 154-position model. The record is from RNAcentral.